CUGUUGCCUGCAAGAUGUAGAACUCUCAGCUGCUUCUUCACCAUGUCUGCCUGCAUGCCACUGUGUCCCAAUGUGACAAUAAUGGGCUAAACUUCUGAAACUACUGCAAAAAUAAGAAUUGGAAGUAGACUCCGGUGAGACACUGGCGGCACGUGUUCUACCACUGAGCUGCACCCUCAGCUUCACAUGCGUUUUGGAGGACACAUUAUCUGUGGCACCAUGGGAGGGUGAUGUCAACAUGGCAAGCUGGCCAUUGCUGAGCAGGUGUUGACAGUGGCUGGAACAGUUUAGGAGCACAACUUGGGAAAGUGAAGUUCAAGUCUAUAGGAAUUUUGCCCUCAUGGAGACUACCUACUGAGACAGUUAUGUGUGUUCACCUACGUGUUGGCAGGUGCUUAUGAAGGCCAGAGGCGUCUUCCUCUGUCACUGUCCACCUUGUUUUUGAGACAAGUCUCUCGAUGAUGCUGGAAUUCACGACUUCAGCUAGAUGAGGAGGCCAGUGAGACCCCCAGGAUCUCCCCUGGGCCGGGACUGCAGGGAACACUGUCUGCUUCACACAUCCCUCUAGAUGGCAAUGACCUCUCAGCCUCACUGGGAAAGGACUGAGCGCAGAGUGCCAGGUUUAGUUUCCUUUAUUACUUCAAGGCUCCGAGAGCCCACUGGAUACUGUGUCACUUCCUGCCCCAGCCGGGCUUCUCCUCUGGAGGAACUGGAUUUCAUUUGCUCCAUUUUCCAUGCUCAGAAGUUCACAGUCUGGCCCUCCCAGUGCAAUGAUGGCUGCAGUGAAGAGAAACAUCCAGACUCAGACACUCCCCAGCACAGUGACAAUAACCAGCAGCCAAACUUUAAGCAAAGAGCCCUGAGGACACGAGAGAAAGCUCAGAAGGGAAAGGAGACAUCUAAUCUGAAUGAAAGGGGAGGCUCAUUCCUGCUGCUGAAAGCUGCUUUGAAAGAGCUGAUUCACACACACACACACACACACACACACACACACACACACGGGCGAGCGCGAGCAAACUUAUUACUACUUAUUACUGUCACACACAUGCCCAUACAAACUUAUUACUGUCACACACAUGCCCAUACAAACUUAUUACUGUCACACACGUUGCUGUCAUACACACACAUACAUGCACACAUGUACACACACAUGCCCUUGCAGAUUUGUUGCUGUCACACACACACACACACACACACAUACACACACACGCAAACUUAUUACUCACACACACAUGCAAACUUAUUACUCACACACACAUGCAAACUUAUUACUCACACACACAUGCACUCACGCAGGCACUCUCACACACACACACACACACAUGCAGUCGUGAAUGCAAACUUGUUGCUGUGUGCCAUUCCUUGUUAAGUUUGCUUACUCUGGGCUCAGUCCCUGCAUUGUUAGCAUGCCAUUUAUGUGACCAAAGCAGGGAGAAACAUGUUUCUCAGCAAGCAGGGGAGAAGCUUUAGGGAGAGGUGCGGUCCAUUGCAUGCCCCGUGCAUUACCAGUAUAUGCAGAAAAACUCCUGUCCUUCUAGAGGCAGGAACAGGCUUGAGCCAGUUUCUACUCCCUGACACUUGACAGAGUGCUUGACACGACAGGAAACACAGUGUAAGUUCAAUAUAUAACAUACAUUUCAAAACAGCAGCCCUAAGUAUAAUUCAAUCUCCCUGAUAAUAAACGUGUCAGCAGUAGUACACAGUCACUUUUUAAAAUAAAUAUCUCACUUUUAUGUACCACAUAUAAUCAGUUACUUGAGAAAUAGAUUGUAAAGUGAGCAGACGAGGACGGAAAACAACUUAUUGUUCCCAGUGGAGUUUAAAGAGAUCAGGCACGUGUAGAAGGAGAGCUGUAUAACCCACAACGUUCUCUGCUUAUCUGGAUAGAUAUCGUUGUUUGAAUAAAGGCAAGACCUUUCUUG
This 1922-nucleotide long non-coding RNA is filed under the name Cricetulus griseus (Chinese hamster). Its description in RNAcentral is "lncRNA (ENSCGRG00015030926.1)". Lineage: Eukaryota; Metazoa; Chordata; Mammalia; Rodentia; Cricetidae. The record is from RNAcentral.